Tigriopus californicus is the source of this 509-nucleotide long non-coding RNA. RefSeq lists it as uncharacterized. The record is from RefSeq and is a predicted model, not a curated record. Lineage: Eukaryota; Metazoa; Arthropoda; Copepoda; Harpacticoida; Harpacticidae. The transcript is spliced from 3 exons.
GAACAGACGCAUUUUAGUUUGCUGCUGUCCUUAUCUCCAGGGAUUUUCGAACCCAGUUGUUUCAGUUGUUCAAGUAUGUGCCAUACCUUGCUGCAAAGUACGAACAGCCUUGACCCUCAAUGUAACGUCCUUCAGAUUGACUCAUCAGACACCAAAUGUACUCAAGCUAAGGCCGAAAAUGAGCAAUUGCUUUGCUUUGACAUCAAGAUGCAAGGCUCUGACAAUUCCAAUAUAAUCAAUGAAGGUCGAAUACAUUCAAUUGAAGCAUAUCCCUAUAUCGGUGGGCACAGUGACGAUUUAAUCAAGUUUGUACCUUUAAUACGAACAGAUCCUCCGUUGCCAGAAUACACACAUCCCUCAACGCCGUUUGUAACAAAGGGACCCUCCCUUUCGGUGCCAUUCAACAAUGGAAUGAUGGUUUGCCAACCAUAUUUCUCAGUUUGUUCCCAUUGGUCAUACUGUGAGUCAUUGUUCAUUUUCUGUGCUGUUAAUGCAUGGUUGAUGCCAUU